This 496-nucleotide ribosomal RNA is filed under the name uncultured bacterium. RNAcentral describes it as "partial 16S ribosomal RNA". It matches the Rfam family "Bacterial small subunit ribosomal RNA", at positions 29 to 507 of the family's 1533-position model. The record is from RNAcentral.
AUGAACGCUGGCGGCGUGCCUAAUACAUGCAAGUAGAACGCUGAGGCUUGGUGCUUGCACCGAGCGGAUGAGUUGCGAACGGGUGAGUAACGCGUAGGUAACCUGCCUCUUAGCGGGGGAUAACUAUUGGAAACGAUAGCUAAUACCGCAUAAAAGUCGAUAUCGCAUGAUAUUGAUUUGAAAGGUGCAAAUGCAUCACUAAGAGAUGGACCUGCGUUGUAUUAGCUAGUUGGUGAGGUAACGGCUCACCAAGGCGACGAUACAUAGCCGACCUGAGAGGGUGAUCGGCCACACUGGGACUGAGACACGGCCCAGACUCCUACGGGAGGCAGCAGCAGGGAAUCUUCGGCAAUGGGGGCAACCCUGACCGAGCAACGCCGCGUGAGUGAAGAAGGUUUUCGGAUCGUAAAGCUCUGUUGUAAGAGAAGAACGAGUGUGAGAGUGGAAAGUUCACACUGUGACGGUAACUUACCAGAAAGGGACGGCUAACUACGUG